This 253-nucleotide ribosomal RNA is filed under the name uncultured bacterium. RNAcentral describes it as "partial 16S ribosomal RNA". It matches the Rfam family "Bacterial small subunit ribosomal RNA", at positions 524 to 776 of the family's 1533-position model. The record is from RNAcentral.
UACGUAGGCAGCGAGCGUUGUUCGGAAUUACUGGGCGUAAAGAGUGUGUAGGCGGUGCUCCCAGUCUGUUGUGAAAUCUCCCGGCUUAACUGGGAGGGUGCAGCGGAAACUAGAGUGCUAGAGGGUGGGAGAGGUAAGCGGAAUUCCUGGUGUAGCGGUGAAAUGCUUAGAUAUGACAUAGAACACCAAUUGCGAAGGCAGCUUACUACACAACGAUUGACGCUGAGGCACGAAAGCGUGGGGAUCAAACAGG